CACUGCGGCAUUGUUGGCUUUUGUAUGAAGCAAUCUUGGCUGAAUGUGAUGGCUCGGCGUGCAGGGAGGGCUCACUGCCGAAUGAGAAUCUUCCUGCCUCUCUCUUUCCUCUGGGCUCUGAGCUGCACAACUGGAGGGUCUCAUGGGCUUCUCAGCACUGCUCACACGACAUCUCCAAGACCCCCUAAAGAUGUGGAGAGAGGGAUGAAGAGGGACGAGUGAAGGUGGUGAGAGAAAGUGACGCCAGGAUUGGUUGGCUGUCUGUUCCAUAUUCAGCAGCUCUGGAUGAGGCAGUGGGCCUGCUGGGAAAACGGUGUCGUAAUCAGGAGCCGAUCUCUCUGCCUGAUCAGAUUGAGCAGCAGGCAGAGGAAAUAUGCCUGUGUGUUGGUGAUGUGAAGAUAGCAAAACCAGCCAAACCCCAGCAUCAGAUCCACUCCGUAAAGAAAAACUCACUUCAUCCUUCUUCUUAAUUGUGGUUCAUUGUGUGGUUACGUAUGACUAAUGUCAGAUACAUUUUUCCAUGAUGCAGUGGUGUACAAGGGAAAUAAUUUAAGGGGGAAUAUAUGAGGAAAUAUACUAAGUUAAAUCACCAUGUGAUCUGAAGAGUUAAACUCAUGCAAUUUGUUUGGAUGUCUGACAGUGGUAGAAUUUUUGAUGACACAAUGAUUUGUUAUUUUAAUUAUUUAAGGCACAAGCUACUGUCAGUCAAUAUUGCUAUAUUACAUUAACAUUACAUCACAUUUAUGGCAUUUCGCAGAAGCCCUUAUCCAGACUGACUUACAUAUAUCUCAUUUAUAUAACUGAGCUGUUAAGGGCCUUGCUCAAGGGCCCAGCAGUGGAAGCUUGGUGGUGCUUGGAUUUGAACUUAUGACCUUCCAGUCAGAAGGCCAAUGUCUUAACCACUAAGCUAUCACUGCCAUAUUAAUAUAAUUGGCAUAGAAUACCUUUAUGACCAUUACUAGAUUUGGGGUACUCCAGACUCGUGUCCAAUUAUGAACAAACUCGGACUUAGAAAAAUUUGUACUCGAACUUGACACGGGCUUGGAUAUUUUGGACUUGGAACAUGAAACAUGAAAAGAAAGACAGAAAAUAAAUAACAACAUAAAAUCAUGAUAACAAGAAAUUGGACUUUCUACAUGCACAUAUUUGAAACGCACGCACAGAAAGCCAUCUCAUCAUGAGAGUACCGAACUGAGUUCUCUUUAGCAGCUUAAGGCGCUCAGACAGUCAAAUAAAUUCACACACAGCAUGUCAAAAUGCAGGUCUGGCUGAGUAUUCAUGCAAACACAGUCGGUUAUGACUUAAGUGAAAGUAAACAGUUGGGGGGAAAUCUGAGGUGUGUCAAUACAGUAUAUUGGAUCUGUGCAUUAGGUCUUAAAGUGACAGCAGUCUAAUAAACCUGCUGCUGUCUCUGUCGUUAACGUUCAUCAAACAACAAAAGACAAAGAGAAAAUCACUCACUCCUUUGACUGAAUAACUUCAGUAAAUUUAAUAAGAAUCACUGUAUAUGUCAUACAGUGGAGUCUAUUUUAUUUUGCAUUUAAUUGCUUUAUUCAAUUUCCGUAGUAUUUCUACUUGAAUUGGUAGACCUACCUGAGAAAACGUAUCGUUAUCGUGAAAUAAGAUUGUAGUCGUAUCGCCCACCCCUAAACAUUAGCAAUUGGUGAUUCCAGUUUUGAAUUUCACGUAAAAUGUGAAAUGUACUUCUUAAUGUAGUAAAAAUCAUAAACCCUGCUGAUAAGGAUUUUUUUUUUCAUUUUAGGAAUUAAAAGAACAGAGCUGUGUUCAGAAAUGAGUUUGUUGUCAUUCAUAGACAGAUUAAAAACAGUACUAAAGCAUGAAGCUUGUUGUUAUGACAUGCUGAUAAAUGUAACUCUACUCUGUACUCUCUCUCUCAGCCUAUAGAUAUAACUAUGAAGGAGAUGCAUCAAGUAAUUGAAAUGUCUACUCGAACUGGAGGACACAAUAUAGUGUGAUACAAUAAAAAAACAGGUUCAUUUGUAUUUUCAUAUACUUGUAAUACAAUAAAAGUUCUAAAUAUACCUCUAUAUUCCUUUUUUUUUUCUUUGAAACCACUUUUUGAUAGGAAACUAGCUGAG
Long non-coding RNA from Ictalurus punctatus (channel catfish), 2099 nucleotides. RefSeq lists it as uncharacterized. Lineage: Eukaryota; Metazoa; Chordata; Actinopteri; Siluriformes; Ictaluridae. The transcript is spliced from 3 exons. The record is from RefSeq and is a predicted model, not a curated record.